Molecule: long non-coding RNA, 484 nt
Filed under: Heterocephalus glaber (naked mole-rat)
Lineage: Eukaryota; Metazoa; Chordata; Mammalia; Rodentia; Bathyergidae
Description: lncRNA (ENSHGLG00100052486.1)
Source: RNAcentral
CAACUGGCCCUUCCGCAGACGCGGGCUAGCGGGCUGGAGAGAAGGUCCACCCAGGGCAUGGAGUAGGUGGCCACUCGCUGUUGGCGUCCAGCUCAUGCCGAAUUUUGAAAAUCCAGGGUACAGAAGGACUGAUGGUAAAAAAACAGAGAGUAGGGACUGUUAUGUCAGCGCUUGUCACCAUUUAAAACGUCAGCAGUGUUACACAAAGACAGUGGAGGUGUGUCUGCAAGAGCCGCAGCUCAGAAACCAUGGGCAUCAUGGCCACAUUUAGUGGCUGUCAGCUGGUGACAAACUUGCCAUCCGUCACAUGAUUCAUAUAGAGCCACAUAUCCUUGCUGUGUCUGAAGAAACUGGUCGCCAUAGUACCAUCCAGGUCCAGAGGAAUCCUUAUGGCUCAAGGGGCAAUCAGUCCCCAUGAGAUGACGUUCCUUACUCGGCAGGGACACUGCCUUUAUUUUCAUCAUGGGAAGAUCACAAGAAGGCG